RNAcentral lists this ribosomal RNA (1411 nucleotides) under Lactiplantibacillus plantarum. RNAcentral's name for it is "bacterial SSU rRNA". It matches the Rfam family "Bacterial small subunit ribosomal RNA". The record is from RNAcentral. Lineage: Bacteria; Bacillati; Bacillota; Bacilli; Lactobacillales; Lactobacillaceae.
CUGGUAUUGAUUGGUGCUUGCAUCAUGAUUUACAUUUGAGUGAGUGGCGAACUGGUGAGUAACACGUGGGAAACCUGCCCAGAAGCGGGGGAUAACACCUGGAAACAGAUGCUAAUACCGCAUAACAACUUGGACCGCAUGGUCCGAGCUUGAAAGAUGGCUUCGGCUAUCACUUUUGGAUGGUCCCGCGGCGUAUUAGCUAGAUGGUGGGGUAACGGCUCACCAUGGCAAUGAUACGUAGCCGACCUGAGAGGGUAAUCGGCCACAUUGGGACUGAGACACGGCCCAAACUCCUACGGGAGGCAGCAGUAGGGAAUCUUCCACAAUGGACGAAAGUCUGAUGGAGCAACGCCGCGUGAGUGAAGAAGGGUUUCGGCUCGUAAAACUCUGUUGUUAAAGAAGAACAUAUCUGAGAGUAACUGUUCAGGUAUUGACGGUAUUUAACCAGAAAGCCACGGCUAACUACGUGCCAGCAGCCGCGGUAAUACGUAGGUGGCAAGCGUUGUCCGGAUUUAUUGGGCGUAAAGCGAGCGCAGGCGGUUUUUUAAGUCUGAUGUGAAAGCCUUCGGCUCAACCGAAGAAGUGCAUCGGAAACUGGGAAACUUGAGUGCAGAAGAGGACAGUGGAACUCCAUGUGUAGCGGUGAAAUGCGUAGAUAUAUGGAAGAACACCAGUGGCGAAGGCGGCUGUCUGGUCUGUAACUGACGCUGAGGCUCGAAAGUAUGGGUAGCAAACAGGAUUAGAUACCCUGGUAGUCCAUACCGUAAACGAUGAAUGCUAAGUGUUGGAGGGUUUCCGCCCUUCAGUGCUGCAGCUAACGCAUUAAGCAUUCCGCCUGGGGAGUACGGCCGCAAGGCUGAAACUCAAAGGAAUUGACGGGGGCCCGCACAAGCGGUGGAGCAUGUGGUUUAAUUCGAAGCUACGCGAAGAACCUUACCAGGUCUUGACAUACUAUGCAAAUCUAAGAGAUUAGACGUUCCCUUCGGGGACAUGGAUACAGGUGGUGCAUGGUUGUCGUCAGCUCGUGUCGUGAGAUGUUGGGUUAAGUCCCGCAACGAGCGCAACCCUUAUUAUCAGUUGCCAGCAUUAAGUUGGGCACUCUGGUGAGACUGCCGGUGACAAACCGGAGGAAGGUGGGGAUGACGUCAAAUCAUCAUGCCCCUUAUGACCUGGGCUACACACGUGCUACAAUGGAUGGUACAACGAGUUGCGAACUCGCGAGAGUAAGCUAAUCUCUUAAAGCCAUUCUCAGUUCGGAUUGUAGGCUGCAACUCGCCUACAUGAAGUCGGAAUCGCUAGUAAUCGCGGAUCAGCAUGCCGCGGUGAAUACGUUCCCGGGCCUUGUACACACCGCCCGUCACACCAUGAGAGUUUGUAACACCCAAAGUCGGUGGGGUAACCUUUUAGGAAC